AAACUAACUAGGAUUCCCCCAGUAACGGCGAGUGAAGCGGGAUGAGCUCAAGCUUAAAAUCUCUGUGUCAGUUUGGCAUGGCGAAUUGUAGUCUAUAGAGGCGGCGUCAGUGCAGGCAUUCGGGGUAAGUUCCUUGGAAGAGGGCAGCAUCGAGGGUGAUACUCCCGUUUGUACCUGAGUGCUUGUGCGUACGACCCGUUUUCUUUGAGUCGCGUUGUUUGGGACUGCAGCGCAAAGUAGGUGGUAAAUUCCAUCUAAAGCUAAAUAUUGGUGCGAGACCGAUAGCGAACAAGUACCGUGAGGGAAAGAUGAAAAGAACUUUGAAAAGAGAGUUAAAGAGUACCUGAAACUGCUGAAAGGGAAGCGAAUCGUAUCCAGUGUCUAUAAUCUGUGGCAUAUUUCAUUGGCGUAUGUGUGCGUGUCGCGUGUUGGAAGUGUUGAUUCAUCAUCGCUCUUUGCGCGACUGUGCGUGUGUCUGCUGGUGCCCUGUGUCAUGGUGGGACGUCAGAGUCAGUUCGUAUGCUGCGGGAAAUGGCUGUUGAGGAGGUAGGUCAGGAGCUUGCUCUUGGCUGUUAUAUCUUGGUAGCUAGUAAUCGCGGUUGGGACUGAGGUGCCUACAACGUGCUUUGGGGUCAUUCGGCUUCUCCUUUGGUUGUCUGCUAGGAUAGCUUGCUAUGUUGGCGUGGCAGUCGGCGGAUGGAGGCUGAGUGUAACCUGUGCCGUUCGGGACUUUGACGAAAUGGAGCGAUUCGGC
Molecule: ribosomal RNA, 754 nt
Filed under: Globisporangium rostratifingens
Lineage: Eukaryota; Oomycota; Peronosporomycetes; Pythiales; Pythiaceae
Description: partial large subunit ribosomal RNA
Rfam family: Eukaryotic large subunit ribosomal RNA
Source: RNAcentral